This 1371-nucleotide ribosomal RNA is filed under the name uncultured Bacteroidota bacterium. Its description in RNAcentral is "uncultured Bacteroidetes bacterium 16S ribosomal RNA". It matches the Rfam family "Bacterial small subunit ribosomal RNA", at positions 27 to 1399 of the family's 1533-position model. Lineage: Bacteria; Pseudomonadati; Bacteroidota. The record is from RNAcentral.
GGAUGAACGCUAGCGGCAGGCCUAAUACAUGCAAGUCGAAGGGUAAGAGUCAGCUUGCUGACUACACGACCGGCGCACGGGUGCGUAACGCGUAUGCAACCUACCUUUAACAGAGGAAUAGCCCCGAGAAAUCGGGAUUAAUACCACAUAACAUUAUGAUAUGGCAUCAUAUUAUAAUUAAAACUCCGGUGGUUAAAGAUGGGCAUGCGUGACAUUAGCUAGUUGGUGAGGUAACUGCUCACCAAGGCUACGAUGUCUAGGGGUUCUGAGAGGAUGAUCCCCCACACUGGUACUGAGACACGGACCAGACUCCUACGGGAGGCAGCAGUAAGGAAUAUUGCGCAAUGGAGGCAACUCUGACGCAGCCAUGCCGCGUGCAGGAUUGAAGGCCUUAUGGGUCGUAAACUGCUUUUAUUUAGGAAUAAACUUUCGUACGUGUACGAAACUGAAGGUACUAAACGAAUAAGCACCGGCUAACUCCGUGCCAGCAGCCGCGGUAAUACGGAGGGUGCAAGCGUUAUCCGGAUUUAUUGGGUUUAAAGGGUGCGCAGGCGGACCAAUUAGUCAGUGGUGAAAUCUCGAGGCUCAACCUCGGAACUGCCAUUGAUACUGUUGGUCUUGAAUACGGUUGAAGUAGGCGGAAUGUAGCAUGUAGCGGUGAAAUGCAUAGAGAUGCUACAGAACACCCGAUCGCGAAGGCAGCUUACUAAACCGAUAUUGACGCUCAGGCACGAAAGCGUGGGGAGCGAACAGGAUUAGAUACCCUGGUAGUCCACGCCGUAAACUAUGAUCACUCGUUGUUGGCAAUACACAGUCAGUGACCAAGCGAAAGCGAUAAGUGAUCCACCUGGGGAGUACGAUCGCAAGGUUGAAACUCAAAGGAAUUGACGGGGGCCCGCACAAGCGGUGGAGCAUGUGGUUUAAUUCGAUGAUACGCGAGGAACCUUACCUGGGCUCAAAUGUAAGUUGACAGUUUCUGAAAGGGAAUUUUCUUCGGACAAUUUACAAGGUGCUGCAUGGUUGUCGUCAGCUCGUGCCGUGAGGUGUCGGGUUAAGUCCCAUAACGAGCGCAACCCCUACUCUUAGUUGCCAUCAGAUAAUGCUGGGGACUCUAGGAGAACUGCCUACGCAAGUAGAGAGGAAGGUGGGGAUGACGUCAAAUCAGCACGGCCCUUACGUCCAGGGCUACACACGUGCUACAAUGGCCGGUACAGAGGGCAGCCACCUGGUGACAGGGAGCGAAUCUCUAAAGCCGGUCUCAGUUCGGAUCGAAGUCUGCAACCCGACUUCGUGAAGCUGGAAUCGCUAGUAAUCGCGCAUCAGCCAUGGCGCGGUGAAUACGUUCCCGGGCCUUGUACACACCGCCCGUCA